UAUUAUGUCAUAUAUUUAG
This 19-nucleotide microRNA is filed under the name Ciona intestinalis (vase tunicate). Its description in RNAcentral is "cin-miR-4172-3p". The record is from miRBase by way of RNAcentral. Lineage: Eukaryota; Metazoa; Chordata; Ascidiacea; Phlebobranchia; Cionidae.